RNAcentral lists this ribosomal RNA (425 nucleotides) under uncultured bacterium. RNAcentral describes it as "bacterial SSU rRNA". It matches the Rfam family "Bacterial small subunit ribosomal RNA", at positions 359 to 776 of the family's 1533-position model. The record is from RNAcentral.
GAAUAUUGGACAAUGGGGGAUACCCUGAUCCAGCCAUGCCGCGUGUGUGAAGAAGGCCUUCGGGUUGUAAAGCACUUUAAGCAGGGAGGAAAGGGGCAUGGCUAAUACCCUUGUCAGUUGCCGUUACCUGCAGAAUAAGCACCGGCUAACUUCGUGACAGCAGCCGCGGUAAUACGAAGGGUGCAAGCGUUAAUCGGAAUUACUGGGCGUAAAGCGCGCGUAGGCGGUUUGAUUAGUUGGAUGUGAAAGCCCAGGGCUCAACCUUGGAACUGCAUCCAAUACUGUCAGGCUAGAGUACGGGAGAGGGGGGUAGAAUUCCACGUGUAGCGGUGAAAUGCGUAGAGAUGUGGAGGAAUACCGGUGGCGAAGGCGGCCCCCUGGAUCGAUACUGACGCUGAGGUGCGAAAGCGUGGGGAGCAAACAGG